This 891-nucleotide non-coding RNA is filed under the name Pleurosicya micheli (Michel's ghost goby). Its description in RNAcentral is "partial 12S rRNA". It matches the Rfam family "Bacterial small subunit ribosomal RNA", at positions 196 to 1527 of the family's 1533-position model. The record is from RNAcentral. Lineage: Eukaryota; Metazoa; Chordata; Actinopteri; Gobiiformes; Gobiidae.
GCCCCUGUGAGGAUGCCCUUACACCCCACUACCGGAGAAGAGGAGCCGACAUCAGGCACAACCCAGUGUUAGCCCACGACGUCUUGCUCAGCCACACCCCCAAGGGAAUGCAGCAGUAAUAAACAUUAAGCCAUGAGUGCAAGCUUGACUUAAUUAUAAUCAAUUAGGGCCGGUCAAAUUCGUGCCAGCCACCGCGGUUAUACGGAAGGCCCAAGUUGACAAAACACGGCGUAAAGGGUGGUUAGUAGUUAUUUUAAUAAAGUCGAACGUUUUCAGAGCUGUAAAAAGCUUAUGUAAACAGGAAGCCCAUCUACGAAAGUGACUUUAUUACCUACGAACCCACGAAAGCUAGGGCACAAACUGAGAUUAGAUACCCCACUAUGCCUAGCCUUAAACACAGAUGAUUGUCUUACUAUCAUUUUUCGCCAGGGAACUACGAGCGAUAGCUUGAAACCCAAAGGACUUGGCGGUGCUUUAGACCCCCCUAGAGGAGCCUGUUCUAGAACCGACUCUACCCGUUCAACCUCACCCCCUCUUGUUCCUUCCCGCCUAUAUACCGCCGUCGUCAGCUUACCCUAUGAAGGGUUAAUAGUAAGCACAAUUGGCAAAGCCUAAAAAGUCAGGUCGAGGUGUAGCUUACUGAGGGGGGACAGAAAUGGGCUACAUUUUCUGACCCAGAAAAUACGGACGUUGCACUGAAAAAGCAUCUGAAGGAGGAUUUAGUAGUAAGGGGGGAAUAGAGUGCCCCCCUGAAACCGGCACUGAAGCGCGUACACACCGCCCGUCACUCUCGCCAAAAACAGCGCCCGUAUACCUAAUUAAUAUAGCACAGGAUAGAGAUGAGAGAAGUCGUAACAUGGUAAGUGUACCGGAAGGUGCACUUGGACAAAC